This 785-nucleotide ribosomal RNA is filed under the name uncultured bacterium. Its description in RNAcentral is "bacterial SSU rRNA". It matches the Rfam family "Bacterial small subunit ribosomal RNA", at positions 28 to 917 of the family's 1533-position model. The record is from RNAcentral.
GAUGAACGCUAGCGACAGGCCUAACACAUGCGAGUCGAGGGACCGGCGCACGGGUGAGUAACACGUAUGCAAUCCACCUGUAACAGGGGGAUAACCCGGAGAAAUCCGGACUAAUACCCCAUAGUUACAGACGAGCAUGCGCUCCAUUAGCCAGUUGGCGGGGUAACGGCCCACCAAAGCGACGAUGGAUAGGGGUUCUGAGAGGAAGGUCCCCCACAUUGGAACUGAGACACGGUCCAAACUCCUACGGGAGGCAGCAGUGAGGAAUAUUGGUCAAUGGUCGGCAGACUGAACCAGCCAAGUCGCGUGAGGGAAGACGGCCUACGGGUUGUAAACCUCUUUUGUCGGAGAGUAAGUAUCCGAAGAAAAAGCAUCGGCUAACUCCGUGCCAGCAGCCGCGGUAAUACGGAGGAUGCGAGCGUUAUCCGGAUUUAUUGGGUUUAAAGGGUGCGUAGGCGGCACGCCAAGUCAGCGGUGAAAUUUUCGGGCUCAACCCGGACUGUGCCGUUGAAACUGGCGAGCUAGAGUGCACAAGAGGCAGGCGGAAUGCGUGGUGUAGCGGUGAAAUGCAUAGAUAUCACGCAGAACCCCGAUUGCGAAGGCAGCCUGCUAGGGUGCGACAAACGCUGAGGCACGAAAGCGUGGGUAUCGAACAGGAUUAGAUACCCUGGUAGUCCACGCAGUAAACGAUGAAUACUAACUGUUUGCAAGCGGUACAGCGAAAGCGUUAAGUAUUCCACCUGGGGAGUACGCCGGCAACGGUGCAACUCAAAUGAAUUGACGGA